CAACGCCGCGUGGAGGAAUGAAGUAUCUCGGUACGUAAACUCCUUUCGAUAGGGAAGAUAAUGACGGUACCUAUUAGAAGAAAGCCCCGGCUAAACUUCCGUGC
Molecule: ribosomal RNA, 104 nt
Filed under: uncultured bacterium
Lineage: Bacteria
Description: partial 16S ribosomal RNA
Source: RNAcentral